CGGCAGCACGGGAGCAAUCCUGGUGGCGAGUGGCGAACGGGUGAGUAAUACAUCGGAACGUGUCCUGUAGUGGGGGAUAGCCCGGCGAAAGCCGGAUUAAUACCGCAUACGCUCUACGGAGGAAAGGGGGGGAUCUUAGGACCUCCCGCUAGAGGGGCGGCCGAUGGCAGAUUAGCUAGUUGGUGGGGUAAAGGCCUACCAAGGCGACGAUCUGUAGCUGGUCUGAGAGGACGACCAGCCACACUGGGACUGAGACACGGCCCAGACUCCUACGGGAGGCAGCAGUGGGGAAUUUUGGACAAUGGGCGAAAGCCUGAUCCAGCAAUGCCGCGUGUGUGAAGAAGGCCUUCGGGUUGUAAAGCACUUUUGUCCGGAAAGAAAACGUCGUGGUUAAUACCCGUGGCGGAUGACGGUACCGGAAGAAUAAGCACCGGCUAACUACGUGCCAGCAGCCGCGGUAAUACGUAGGGUGCAAGCGUUAAUCGGAAUUACUGGGCGUAAAGCGUGCGCAGGCGGUCCGCUAAGACAGAUGUGAAAUCCCCGGGCUUAACCU
This 553-nucleotide ribosomal RNA is filed under the name uncultured Burkholderia sp. RNAcentral's name for it is "bacterial SSU rRNA". It matches the Rfam family "Bacterial small subunit ribosomal RNA", at positions 67 to 615 of the family's 1533-position model. The record is from RNAcentral. Lineage: Bacteria; Pseudomonadati; Pseudomonadota; Betaproteobacteria; Burkholderiales; Burkholderiaceae.